RNAcentral lists this ribosomal RNA (465 nucleotides) under Vreelandella stevensii. RNAcentral describes it as "partial 16S ribosomal RNA". It matches the Rfam family "Bacterial small subunit ribosomal RNA", at positions 338 to 795 of the family's 1533-position model. Lineage: Bacteria; Pseudomonadati; Pseudomonadota; Gammaproteobacteria; Oceanospirillales; Halomonadaceae. The record is from RNAcentral.
CCUACGGGGGGCAGCAGUGGGGAAUAUUGGACAAUGGGGGCAACCCUGAUCCAGCCAUGCCGCGUGUGUGAAGAAGGCCCUCGGGUUGUAAAGCACUUUCAGUGAGGAAGAACGCCUGGUGGUUAAUACCCAUCAGGAAAGACAUCACUCACAGAAGAAGCACCGGCUAACUCCGUGCCAGCAGCCGCGGUAAUACGGAGGGUGCGAGCGUUAAUCGGAAUUACUGGGCGUAAAGCGCGCGUAGGUGGCUUGAUAAGCCGGUUGUGAAAGCCCCGGGCUCAACCUGGGAACGGCAUCCGGAACUGGAAAGGUAGGGUGCAGGAGAGGAAGGUAGAAUUCCCGGGGUAGCGGGGAAAUGAGGAGAGAGCGGGAGGAAUACCAGUGGCGAAGGCGGCCUUCUGGACUGACACUGACACUGAGGUGCGAAAGCGUGGGUAGCAAACAGGAUUAGAUACCCGGGUAGUC